Lupinus albus (white lupine) is the source of this 463-nucleotide non-coding RNA. NCBI's taxonomy places the organism in Eukaryota, Viridiplantae, Streptophyta, Magnoliopsida, Fabales, Fabaceae. The record is from the annotation of a GenBank genome assembly.
GGCAAUACACACUUAUAGAUGAACUGUUAAAGUUACAACAAGAUCAUGGUCAUGGGUUGGAAGGGUAGUGUUUGAUGGGUCAGAACUCAGAAGGGAAGUUUAAAAAAAAAGUAUGUUUGCAUAAGCAACAUUGUUCAGGUGCGGUCUUCAGGUUUAGCUGGGUGGGAUACCCUUAGGAACUUGUAAAGCACAGUUGCAAAGAUAGCUCCCAGAGUAGGACCUAUGAGAUAAACCCAAAUGUUUUUGUAAAUACCAGAGACUAUGGCAGGGCCUAAACUCCUUGCAGGAUUCAUGGAUGCUCCAGUAAUGGGCCUUCAGAAAAAUGAGGGAAUUCAGGUUUAGGUGGAGAAUCAACCAUAACUGUUAGUGAAUCAGCCAUAAUAGCACUUUGAUGUUAAGGCUUAGGGGAAAGUGUAGCUACAGAUUCGUUCCCUUAUAUGCACACAUGCAGCAGCAGUGUAGU